GCACUCUCACACCUAACCUUUGGGUUUUGUUGUGGAAUUGGGAUGCGCCGAUUUCAAUGGUCGGCACUCCUAAAAUGUAGCUCUUGGCUGUUUCCUACUACAGCAGUUUGGCCUAAUAGUUUUGACUUUUGUCAAAUCUUUGGCUACAUUUGCUUCUGGAAAUCAGUCUUGAUAAUACAGAAAACUCAUUUCAAA
Molecule: unclassified non-coding RNA, 195 nt
Filed under: uncultured Umbelopsis
Lineage: Eukaryota; Fungi; Mucoromycota; Umbelopsidomycetes; Umbelopsidales; Umbelopsidaceae
Description: sequence contains ITS2
Source: RNAcentral